UACGAAGGGGGCUAGCGUUGCUCGGAAUUACUGGGCGUAAAGGGCGCGUAGGCGGGUGUCUAAGUCAGAGGUUAAAUCCCAGAGCUCAACUCUGGAACUGCCUUUGAGACUGGACGCCUAGAGUUUGGGAGAGGUGAGUGGAAUGCCGAGUGUAGAGGUGAAAUUCGUAGAUAUUCGGCGGAACACCAGUGGCGAAGGCGACUCACUGGCCCAAUACUGA
Molecule: ribosomal RNA, 220 nt
Filed under: uncultured bacterium
Lineage: Bacteria
Description: partial 16S ribosomal RNA
Rfam family: Bacterial small subunit ribosomal RNA
Source: RNAcentral